CGAACGCUGGCGGCGUGCUUAACACAUGCAAGUCGAACGGGCCCGCCCCUGUUUUUGGGGGUGGGUUGAGUGGCGAACGGGUGAGUAUCACGUGAGUAACCUGCCCCCUGCUCCUGGAUAACUGCUUGAAAGGGCGGCUAAUACGGGGUGUGCCGGCUGGUCCGCAUGGGCCUGGUCGGGAUAGUUUCAUCUUCGGGUGUUUCGGUGGGGGAUGGGCUCGCGGCCUAUCAGCUUGUUGGUGGGGUGAUGGCCCACCAAGGCGGUGACGGGUAGCCGGCCUGAGAGGGUGGGCGGCCACACUGGGACUGAGACACGGCCCAGACUCCUGCGGGAGGCAGCAGUGGGGGGUAUUGCGCAAUGGGCGGAAGCCUGAUGCAGCGACGGCGCGUGAGGGAUGGAGGCCUUCGGGUUGUGAACCUCUUUCUCCGGUGGUGAAGGCCCUGUCCGUUGCGGCGGGGUUGACGGUAGCCGGGUAUGAAGCGCCGGCUAACUACGUG
RNAcentral lists this ribosomal RNA (497 nucleotides) under uncultured bacterium. RNAcentral's name for it is "partial 16S ribosomal RNA". It matches the Rfam family "Bacterial small subunit ribosomal RNA", at positions 30 to 507 of the family's 1533-position model. The record is from RNAcentral.